GAUGAACGCUGGCGGCGUGCCUAAUACAUGCAAGUCGAGCGAACAGAUGAGGAGCUUGCUCCUCUGACGUUAGCGGCGGACGGGUGAGUAACACGUGGAUAACCUACCUAUAAGACUGGGAUAACUUCGGGAAACCGGAGCUAAUACCGGGUAAUAUAUUGAACCGCAUGGUUCAAUAGUGAAUGACGGUUUUCCUGGCACUUAUAGAUGGAUCCGCGCCGCAUUAGCUAGUUGGUAAGGUAACGGCUUACCAAGGCAACGAUGCGUAGCCGACCUGAGAGGGUGAUCGGCCACACUGGAACUGAGACACGGUCCAGACUCCUACGGGAGGCAGCAGUAGGGAAUCUUCCGCAAUGGGCGAAAGCCUGACGGAGCAACGCCGCGUGAGUGAUGAAGGUCUUCGGAUCGUAAAACUCUGUUAUUAGGGAAGAACAAAUGUGUAAGUAACUAUGCACGUCUUGACGGUACCUAAUCAGAAAGCCACGGCUAACUACGUG
Molecule: ribosomal RNA, 497 nt
Filed under: uncultured bacterium
Lineage: Bacteria
Description: partial 16S ribosomal RNA
Rfam family: Bacterial small subunit ribosomal RNA
Source: RNAcentral